UGCAAGUCGAGCGGGCCUUUCGGGGUCAGCGGCGGACGGGUGAGUAACGCGUGGGAACGUGCCCUCUGGUUCGGAAUAACUCAGGGAAACUUGAGCUAAUACCGGAUACGCCCUUUUGGGGAAAGGCUUGCUGCCGGAGGAUCGGCCCGCGUCUGAUUAGCUAGUUGGUGAGGUAACGGCUCACCAAGGCGACGAUCAGUAGCUGGUCUGAGAGGAUGAUCAGCCACACUGGGACUGAGACACGGCCCAGACUCCUACGGGAGGCAGCAGUGGGGAAUAUUGGACAAUGGGCGCAAGCCUGAUCCAGCCAUGCCGCGUGAGUGAUGAAGGCCUUAGGGUUGUAAAGCUCUUUUAUCCGGGACGAUAAUGACGGUACCGGAGGAAUAAGCCCCGGCUAACUUCGUGCCGGCAGUCGCGGUAAUACGAAGGGGGCUAGCGUUGCUCGGAAUCACUGGGCGUAAAGGGCGCGUAGGCGGCGUUUUAAGUCGGGGGUGAAAGCCUGUGGCUCAACCACAGAAUGGCCUUCGAUACUGGGACGCUUGAGUAUGGUAGAGGUUGGUGGAACUGCGAGUGUAGAGGUGAAAUUCGUAGAUAUUCGCAAGAACACCGGUGGCGAAGGCGGCCAACUGGA
This 631-nucleotide ribosomal RNA is filed under the name uncultured bacterium. RNAcentral's name for it is "bacterial SSU rRNA". It matches the Rfam family "Bacterial small subunit ribosomal RNA", at positions 56 to 733 of the family's 1533-position model. The record is from RNAcentral.